AUGCGUGCCUGGCCCUCUCCUCUGCUUUGGAGCUUAACCGCGGCAUGGCUGACAGCUGCUGCCUCAGCCUCUGCACCCCCAGUUCCUGCUGCGACACUCUCGGCUGGAGUGGUGUCCACCACGCCAAACCUUGCCGCAUCCACGGGAGCGCCGUCUACUGACCCAAGCGUGGGAACAUCAGCUCCAGUUUUGUCCACCACCCCAGAGGCAACAGUGCUCACUUCUGGAAGCGCGACCACCUCUCGCAAGCCCAGCGCAGCGCCCACCAGUGCCCCGUCCUCCCCUCUGGCUGUGACGGUGUCUCCCAGCGUCCCAUCGGCAGCUCCGUUCCUCACCACCUCAGAGCCCUUGGGCUGCGGCAGGGUGAACGUGACAGCGUGUGAACACUGUUCCCCAGGGACAUUUCCCAAUGAUGGCACCCUGAGCUGCUUGUGCUGCUCGCGGGGCUCCUGCGCGGGCCCUGCUGACUGCGUCCCCUGCCCGGUGGGUCACUACCAGCCCCUGAGCGGCCAACAGUCGUGUCUGCCCUGUCCGCAGGGGUAUUACGCCAGUUUUCGGAAGAGCACCGCAUGCUCUCCCUGUCCGCCUGGCUCUUACACUAACGAGUCUGGGGCUGCAGCUUGCAGAGCCUGCCAGCAAGGGUAUUUCAGCUCACAGCAAAAUGCAGCUUUUUGCCUGCCUUGCCUGCCUGGAUCAUUUUGCAACACCACCGGCUGCACCACGUGUCUGGCUUGCCCUGGUGGGACGGAGGCUCUUCGCAAGGCGUCCGAGGAGUGCACACCUUGCCUCCCAGGUAUGUUCAAAGGUCCUGAAGACAACAGAUGCAAGCUCUGCAAGGUGGGAGAAUACCAAUUACAGCMGGGCAAGGAGAGCUGUGACCUGUGCCCAGAACAUUACUACUGUCCUAGCCCAGAUGUGAACCCGGUCAAGUGCCCUGCUGAUGCCUUCUGCCCUGCCGGCAGCACUGAGCCCGAGUAUUGCAUGGAGGUGUUUCUUUACAAGGCAGGAGACUCUUGCCAGUUGGCCCCUCUGAUGAUCAUCCUCCUGGCCCUUUUCACAGCAGGGGGAAUCCUUGCUGUCUUUCUGAUAAUUCUGAAGAGAAGGCAAGAAUAUAGGAAGAAAUCUUUGAAGUCUCUACUGUUACCAAAAGGAUCAGGACAACACACAACGUAUGGUGUGAUGGAGCACACAGAACCAGUAUACACUGGUUGGUAGCAGGCUGUGAAACGUUAUCAACAAGCUUUCUGUUCGCUUUUCUGUAUGGCAAUAUGGAUGUGUGUAUAUGGGCAAAAUAUUAAUCACGAUCAACCUAUUUCAACCUAUGUAGCUAAAAUAUUUAAUUACACUAACCACAAGUGCACAGAAAUGCAAAUAAAUCAUUUAUCAGUUGUGACUACUUGUGCUAA
RNAcentral lists this long non-coding RNA (1406 nucleotides) under Apteryx owenii (little spotted kiwi). Its description in RNAcentral is "lncRNA (ENSAOWG00000007458.1)". The record is from RNAcentral. Lineage: Eukaryota; Metazoa; Chordata; Aves; Apterygiformes; Apterygidae.